Molecule: long non-coding RNA, 8150 nt
Filed under: Sorghum bicolor (sorghum)
Lineage: Eukaryota; Viridiplantae; Streptophyta; Magnoliopsida; Poales; Poaceae
Description: long non-coding RNA (SBIC_LNC008166)
Source: RNAcentral
GCGGUGGCGGCUCUACCUGGGAGCGGCGCGGUUCCUAGGGUUGGGGAGAAGGGGGCGCUGCCUCCCUCAUGGGCCACGGCCUGGGCCUUGGCGACUUGGGCCGUAGGUGAAGGGGGACGAGUGAGCUGGGGGCAAGACGCGCUGGCGGGCCGUGGUGCUGCGUCGCUGGGCCUUGCGCGCGAAAGGGCCAAGCAUGGAGGAGGGAGGGCGCUGGUCGCGUGGGCCAAAGGGAGAAAAGAAAAGAAAAAAAAGGGUAGGAGGGGAGUAGGAAAUGGAUUUUGGCCCGAAAGAGAAGGAUUUUCCAUUUACGAACUUGACUCAAGGGCUUUGAGAGAGAAAUUUAAAAAGGGGAAAGAAUCGAGGGGGAUUCGAGAGAGAACUCAAAAAGAGAUUAAGAUGAGUUGCCAUGAAUUCAAGAUGGAUUUAGCGGUAGGGAUUUAGAGAGGAGGUCGACAAGAGAAAAGGUUUGAGAAGGGAAUUUCGGGGAGAGUUCGGAAAGAAUUCAAGGAAGUUGAGAAGGGAUUCGCUUCGCCUUUGAGAUAGGCUCAAAGAAAAUUUGAGAAGACUUCGCUAGGGAUUUAUGCACUCCAAAAGAAACUCAAAACCCUAAACAAGACCCAACUUAAGACGACUCACGAACAAAAUCACUCGCCUACAAACAAAUCUACAUGUAUGCCACGAUUUGUUAGCGGGUUAGGAUCGAGUUAGACCUGAAAACUAUAUGCUUCACACGGUUACAUGAAAAAUUUUAAAAAGCUCGUAUUUUUGGUUUUUUUUUUUGUAAAAAUCCGGGAUGUUACAGUCCACCCACCUUACAGGAAUCUCGUCCCCGAGAUUUAGGCGUUGCUCGGUCGGUGAAGAGACGAGGGUGUCGUUCUCAAAGCCUUUCUUACUUCUGAGUUGUUUCACUUUCAAUGUGAUCGCUCCACAAACUUUUUCCAAAAUGGGAGUGACUCUUGUUCCAAGUGUAUGCAAGGCUCACUUGCAGUCGUUGGGCAUCCAAAUUUUCACAUCAGGGCGAUGGGUGUCCAAGAAUCGCACGGGGUUGAUGAACAUCUGGCUCUCAAAGAGUGCAUGGCAGGCUUAAACGUAGCUAGGGUUGUUGGCUUUCAAUAGCUGUUUUUCGUGCAUCACUCUUUGCAAAAAGCUUUUGAAAGGAAUGUUUUUCGGAAAAACAGGUUUCAUAAAUGGAGUGAAAGCGAUUUUACAAAGUCAAAUGGAUUUUAAAGAGAGCUCAAACUGAAAAUAGCUUAUGGAAAGGGUUGAAAUCAGCGCAAAUUUUGAAAACCAAGUUUAUUUAUUUUAUUAUAAUUAUUAUUUUAAGAUUUUUGAUGUAAAAGAUUUCAAAUCAAGAGACUUUGAAACUCUUUUAGUUUUCUAGAUGAGGCGUUGCUCUCUUUUAUUUGAACUAAACAAACUAGUUUUGAAAAUGAUUAGAAAUCAUUUCUCUCUUUUGAAAGAUAAAGCUUUAACAACAAUAACAUUUUCUUUCAAAACUUGUAAGUUCAUUUUGUUUUUGCUAAUUUUUUUUUUGGAAGGCCGCAAACAAAAUUCUUUUCGCAAUGGUUUUUGUUUAAUAAAACACUGAAAAUUCCUUUUUCUUUUAGGACAAGGUGGAUUUUUAAAAGGAAUUUGGCUCUCGAGAUAAAAUCAAAGGUCUUUACAACAAAACUGAGCCAAAGAUCUUUGAUCUAAAAACCAUUUUGUUGAUGAAAAAGCAAGACUUUUGUUUUUCAGAAGAUGGUUGGUAACACCUUUUGAAAGAUAACUUAUUUUUAAAUAGUUUCAUAAAUAGAGUUUGGAUAAAAUUGAGUUGAGAAAAGGGUUAAAAUGGCUCUCUUUGUGAAAAUGAAAGAUAUUAAGAGAGUUUUGAAACACUUUUCCUUUUGAAACAAGGAUGCUUUUGUUAGAGAGGGGACAUUUUAACCAAAAGGAGAGAAAAUUUUGAAGACAGGUUCAUUUUGGAAGCCAAAAACAGUUUUGAAAUAGGCGAGCAUCACAUGAUGCAACAGCUUUACCUAACUUUUAACUUUGUUAGUCAGGGCCACCUAUCUAGUCUCGGGACGGUCUUAGGUUUAGCCGACUAGGUUGGACGGAAUCCAGAGUUUUUCUCGCAUAAAACAGGUUCUAUGACUUACACCCAGACAACAAGAAGCAGAAGAAACGCAACAACAUAAGAUCCAAGCACUCAAACAGCAUUACAACUCCUAAUGCAUAGUGUUGACUUGAGGCGACUCACAGACCUUCAAAGUCUCACACAACUAUCGAUCUAGCGUGGGCGGGUAUGGGAAAAGAUUCCAACGGUCAACUUUAUGAAACAGGGAGGUCAGUUAGCAGCAGAAUUCAAGGCGGAGGGGGGAAAACAAGUGUUAGCAUCUAUAACUCUACAAAAGAUAGAAUGUUUGGCUUCUAAACUAGUGUUUGGUCCUAAAGGUCUCGUCCUAGGGUCAAGUAUGGCUCUGAUACCAACUGAAACGACCUAGAUUUUUCCACAAAGGGGAAAAAUCCUCAGAUUCGAAUUAUAAUGUGAUAAUUCAGAUAUUGAGCCAUCACAUUAUCAUAUAUCAGCUGUUAUCGCAGUCAUACAUCGUGAAAAAGAAGAUUACAUCACAUUUACUUUACAACUCUUAGUUAACAAGCCUAUUACAUCGUUUUACUAGCGGAAACACACACGAAUCUUUUUCAGAGUCGAUGUAGCGCGUCAGCAGUGAGGGCUCCUCCUUCACGGGCAAUCAUCAGAGUCGGCGUAGUUUAUCAGCGGGCGUAGCCUUCAUCUCCGAACCAAACUUGAGCGCAGGAACGAGACCACCUAAUCCUUCUAUUCUCCGUAGUUAUCAUCAUAGACCACAUCCAAAACCUGCUAAACAAUUUUCAGUACGAUUUGUACUGGCCACUGGCUCCCACCCUAUGCUUUUGCUUAAGCUUUGUGGUAAGUGGAAUGCAAAGGGUAGAUCAAGAGGCCUAUAUAUAUGGCUGUAGUCUUUCCUAUGCAAGUUCAUCAAUAUUUAAUAAUAAUAUUUCAUCAAGUUUUAUUCCAUCUCAUCCACACAUCCAUCCAUCCAUCCCAUCACACACAUCUCACCACACUCUCACUCUCUAGGCGGCAAGUACGACUCCCGCUCGUGCCUUGCCUCAACGGCCAACGCCGGAUCCAACACAAACCCAGGGGAAGGUAGAAAGGACUCCUCUCACUAGUCAAGCGAAGCGGAACAUAGGAAAGGUCCAUAGCCGAGAAGACGGCAUAUGUAUCGAUCGAUCAACCAAACUCUGCAGAGGUUUACACUAACCACAAGAUCACCAUCAUCGACGAACCGGCUCGUCUAGGCUGAUACCGGGCUGCCUUCCAACUAAAUACGAUGCCACCCUACCACUCAGGACUGGGGCCAUACCGGAGUACCACCGGCAUGCUGAGACUGUGAGGCGUAGUACCGGGCCCCCAAGGGUCACUACGCUGUCUUAGGAGGGUGUGGGUCCUCAUGCCCGUACCUCCCUACACUAUCCGCUAUCAACCUAGUAGUAGUGGCACCGCACUAGCUGGUCGUACAUCCGUCCCGCACCAUAAUAAGGCGAGUGGCGUGUAAGGCUUCCUACGAACCGGUUCUCAGAACAUCUCAGUCCUUAGGGUAACCGAACAGGACAUCUUCACGAGGGGCCAGCCGAUGCCCCUCUCGACGGGACACCCGGCUACCCCGUGCUAAACAGCACCUCCCAUCCCGGUGCUUCGUCCCACGAAGACACUCCACUCCGGGACCUCUCCCUGUCACAUGUACCCGCCACAGGUAUCUCUCAUGGAGAACGCCCAGGUAGCGUUCCCCGGCAAGACUUGUCCCAAGACUCGUCGUAAAUCCUGCUCGGUCGACUCAACCCUCACCACACACCCAAGACACACGCCAAGAUCUCCCCAUAUCCAUUAUCCAUUUCUUAACCAGUUAUCGGCACACGUGCCUUAUCCACUCACAUCCAAUCCUCCACAAUGCAUCACAUCACAGAUAUAAUGCGUAGUAGAAGCAGUAGCAAGUAGUAUGCAAGCAUCUAACCUAACAGCGGGUGUGCGAGGGUUAUAGGUUGCAACAAGGCAAUGGCUCACAAGCAUUUCUACCAUGCAACCUAUCAUAGUUCAUUUGCAUAAAAGUAAAGCACUAGCAUCUAUAAUAUUGCAUGUCUAAUAGGAUUCUACGAGGUUGGGUGGGACGUGGCACCUGUCGAGUGACAUUUCCAGGAUCCUCAGUUCACUUGUAGUUGUACUCAUCCAAGGUCUUUCUCCUAUCUGCAUGUCCUUCCUUCGACUGGUUCCGAUUCGAUCAUCGCUAACCGAAGCAACUACCUCGUAAACGACAAUCAAGGCGAAACAAUCAAACCACUAGACCUAGAAAGAUCAUGAUAAGAGGCGACAAAACACUGAAGAACAACUACACUAAAAGAGCACCGAAAGGAAAACAACUUAGCCCUCUCGGCGGAUGUCCGAUCCCUGGGCUAAAAGAAACGGGAAUGGUUGUUCACUAAGUACAAGCCAGAGUCUUAGCCUAGCCGGUACUUCCCGGGUUAACUGAGUCAACCUGUACGGCUUUAUUAAAUGGCUUAGACUCUAACUCAUUCUAAGCAAACACCACAACUUACAGUCUUUCGAUCCAAGUGUCAUAGAGAUCGACAGGAAUCGAAAAGGCUAUGAGCACGGGAAGUUCCGGUCUCUCUCAAUCCAUACGCCAUUGUAGUUGGCGAGAGCCAAGAGAGGGUGGAACAAGGAGAGAAGAAAAAGGGAAGUGGUCUACUCCUUCCAAUCCACUUGCCAUGGUAAUAGACGGGGUAAUCAGAAAGAGUGACAUACAAGAACACGAGUGCUCAAACUACUUGUAGGGUACCACAACCUAGGUACACUGAAUGCACUAAGACAUCCCUAGGGUUCUUAGCAGUGCGGUUGUCACCACGAGAACCAAAGAAAUGCUACGGUCGAAUAGGUACAAGCAUACAAGAGUUUAAACACAAAGAACCAAAAAGGCGGGAAAAGACACGGGUUUCACUUCCUAUUGAUCCACUUGCCAUAGCAACAGCGGGAAUCGUAGAAAUGGAAUCAAAACACCAAACAAACAAAAGGGCUCAAUCCACAUAUUACUGGAUCUACAGGGAUUGAGAACAAGAGAGAAGAGGAAUGGAGUCCAUACUGUUUCGACCAACUCAUCAUGGAAUGAACGACGGUUGGAUGAAAGAGAUACGACCCCACGAUCCAACCCUACUCGUAGGGUACCACGACUGUGCAUCUAAUCAGCACACGGCUAUUCCUAAGGCCCGUAGCGAUGCGGUUGUCACCGCUAGGUCCGAGGGAAUGCUAUAGUCGAAGUGGUGCAAGCAUACGAGGUGGUUAGGAUAAACACGCGAGAAAUGGGGUAAAGCCGGAUGGUCAUGGCAAGGUGGACUUGCGACCAUUAGCUUCACCCAACGAGUUGGCUUCUGACUGUUCUACAAGGGUUGCUCCUAAUCUGUAUCCCACUAGACUAGAUCACAGAGAACUCGAAGGUGCGGGUAAGAACCGCGUCGUUAUGAAUAUCGAGUCCGCAAAGAUCAAACCCCAGGGACGAGGAUAGGAGCUAACAAGCGUAGCGUGACGAAGUCAACUAAACACGGGGAGACGAGUUACGCUCGGCAUCGCGAUCACGGCGGGACGAACCCACGAUCGAAAUGAUCAAACGCACUACCACUUCCCCGACCGGCUCGAAGGCUCAGUCCUCAGGCAAAUAACAAAAGAAAGAACGACGACAACCCGAGAAGGGAUAUGCUUGGCACUACGACCAUGGCGAGACAACUCGCGAUCGCAACAUUCAAACACAUCACUCUCUCAACCGGCUCGAAGGCACGGUUCACAACCAACCAACCACAUGACACAAGAACCAACGCACAAAGAACCACAAUGCCGCGACCAACACAAAGACAAAGUAGAGUAGCACAUUUCCAUAGCGACCAACAGAGAUAGAUAAACGGAUAGAUAAACAGACCGGCACGAAGGCACGGCACAGGCAUAGAAUAAAUAAUUCAUGUAUCGACAAGUAUAGAUAGAUGGAUAAAGAUGAAUCAUAUAGCAAGUGUAUGAAAGCAGAAUAGGGUUUUUGUUGGCAUCGGGAAUGACGCCAACUAGGGUUCGGGGCUCGACCUUGGAGCCGAUGGGCUGUGGUAGCAGCUGUUGUUCUUCGGAUGCAGCGAAGUGGUGGUCAUGCUUGGUCGCGCGGCUUCGUCAUUGGCCGGUGCUCGGCAAGGUGUUGCAAAGGCGAUCAGCGGUGCUGCGAGGUUCCACUCAUGGUAGCUCUAGCGUUGCGGCUUCCAUGGGAAGGUGCAGCAGGUCCGAGGCCUCCCUGUGACAGUGGUUGAACACGGCACCCAGGCCGACUGUUAGCCAAGAACCACGGUAUGGUCUUCAGAACGGAAAGAAAGGUAUGGCCUUGGCUUGAGAGCUCACCGAUGACAGAGAAGGGCUUGGCGAGGACGAGGCGAGCACGGCACUGACGAGGGGAACUGGUGGGGGCGCUGCUCGACGUCGUGGCCGCAGGGGUGGUGCUUGGCGCUCGGGUUCGCGGUCACCACGGGGUUGCUGGGUCACGACCAGCGCUGCGGACGACGGUGUCGUGGAGGAGGGCUCGGAGCAGAACUCGGUGAGGACGCAGCGUCGCGGGGUCGGGGCUCCUGCUCGGCGAGGGCGCGGAGAUCCUACUCGACGUCGAGGUAGAGGCGCGGCUUGACGGCGGCGGGUGCGCGGGGUGGUGCCGAGGACGAGGCGUGUCGCGGACACGGCGUCGCGACGGCGGUGCGCGGGGACAGGGCUCGGCGCGGCGGGGCGUCCGCGCGGCCGGCCAGGUCGGAGACGCGGACACGGAGAGGCUCCGUGCUCGCGGUGCUGGCCGAAGACGGGGCUCGGGGAAGAGCUCGCGGUUGUGCGUCGUGACGCGGCCACGGCGAGGUUGGUGUCGCAGCCUCGGCCCUUGGCGAAGGACCUCGACGUCGGGGUCGCGGGUGCGGCUCGGCGGUGCUCGGCGGCGUCGUGGCCCGGGGCGGGGUUGACGCGAGGGCGCGGAGCUCCUGAUGGGGCGCCGAGGUCCUGGCCGCGGCCGAGGCUCGUAAAGACGAGGUCGUCGCGGGGCACCGAGGCGGCUCGGCAGUGCUGUGGCGCCCGCGCGGCCAGCCGUGGUCGAAGCUCGACGCGGCGAGGGCAGCGUCGCGGCUGGCCACGGCUCGGCGAAGGUGGCUUCUGGGCGUCAUGUCAGCCGUCGAGGCAAGGGCGCCGUCGUCUCGGGCUCUCGGUGGCGCAGUGGGUGCUUGUCGCGGACAACUCAAGCGCCUGCGUCCCGGUGCGGCCGUGGCAUCCGCGUGGCCGUCCGCGGUCGCGAGUCCGCACGACGCCGCGGUCGCGGAGGACGCCGGGGCCUCGGUGGCGUCCAGGCUUGACGUGAAGGCGUUGUCGCGGCGCCGGUCAUGGAGGACAAGGCGGAGGGCGGUGGCGCUGGGUGGAGGGAACAGAGGACUGCGGCGGCGCCACUAGGGAAGAGCUCGAGGGCGUGGCGGCGGCUGGGCUCUUUAUAGGCGUCGAGGCUAGGGCUUCAGAGUGGAGGCGUUCAUCCUCGGCGUCCGUGUCCGCAGCGGGACACGCGGCGGGAAUCCUGGGCUGGCGCGGACAGGGACAGGAGGGGCGCUGGCGCUCGUGGCCUUUCCACCGAGCGGCGGCGGUGGCGGCUCUACCUGGGAGCGGCGCGGUUCCUAGGGUUGGGGAGAAGGGGGCGCUGCCUCCCUCAUGGGCCACGGCCUGGGCCUUGGCGACUUGGGCCGUAGGUGAAGGGGGACGAGUGAGCUGGGGGCAAGACGCGCUGGCGGGCCGUGGUGCUGCGUCGCUGGGCCUUGCGCGCGAAAGGGCCAAGCAUGGAGGAGGGAGGGCGCUGGUCGCGUGGGCCAAAGGGAGAAAAGAAAAGAAAAAAAAAGGGUAGGAGGGGAGUAGGAAAUGGAUUUUGGCCCGAAAGAGAAGGAUUUUCCAUUUACGAACUUGACUCAAGGGCUUUGAGAGAGAAAUUUAAAAAGGGGAAAGAAUCGAGGGGGAUUCGAGAGAGAACUCGAAAAGAGAUUAAGAUGAGUUGCCAUGAAUUCAAGAUGGAUUUAGCGGUAGGGAUUUAGAGAGG